GUGGGGAAUAUUGGACAAUGGGGGGAACCCUGAUCCAGCCAUGCCGCGUGUGUGAAGAAGGCCUUUUGGUUGUAAAGCACUUUAAGCGAGGAGGAGGCUACCGAGAUUAAUACUCUUGGAUAGUGGACGUUACUCGCAGAAUAAGCACCGGCUAACUCUGUGCCAGCAGCCGCGGUAAUACAGAGGGUGCAAGCGUUAAUCGGAUUUACUGGGCGUAAAGCGCGCGUAGGUGGCCAAUUAAGUCAAAUGUGAAAUCCCCGAGCUUAACUUGGGAAUUGCAUUCGAUACUGGUGGGCUAGAGUAUGGGAGAGGAUGGUAGAAUUCCAGGUGUAGCGGUGAAAUGCGUAGAGAUCUGGAGGAAUACCGAUGGCGAAGGCAGCCAUCUGGCCUAAUACUGACACUGAGGUGCGAAAGCAUGGGGAGCAAACAGGAUUAGAAACCCGGGUAGUCC
Molecule: ribosomal RNA, 451 nt
Filed under: uncultured bacterium
Lineage: Bacteria
Description: partial 16S ribosomal RNA
Rfam family: Bacterial small subunit ribosomal RNA
Source: RNAcentral